AGUGGCGGACGGGUGAGUAACGCGUGAGAAUCUGCCCUCAGGAGGGGGACAACAGCUGGAAACGGCUGCUAAUACCCCAUAUGCCGAAAGGUGAAACGAUUUUUCGCCUGANGAUGAGCUCGCGUCUGAUUAGCUGGUUGGUGGGGUAAUGGCCUACCAAGGCUUCGAUCAGUAGCUGGUCUGAGAGGACGAUCAGCCACACUGGGACUGAGACACGGCCCAGACUCCUACGGGAGGCAGCAGUAGGGAAUUUUCCGCAAUGGGCGAAAGCCUGACGGAGCAACGCCGCGUGAGGGACUAAGGCCUUUGGGCUGUAAACCUCUUUUCUCAAGGAAGAAGAUCUGACGGUACUUGAGGAAUAAGCCACGGCUAAUUCCGUGCCAGCAGCCGCGGUAAUACGGGAGUGGCAAGCGUUAUCCGGAAUUAUUGGGCGUAAAGCGUCCGCAGGCGGCCAAGCAAGUCUGUUGUUAAAGCGUGGAGCUCAACUCCAUCACGGCAAUGGAAACUGUUCGGCUUGAGUAUGGUAGGGGCAGAGGGAAUUUCCAGUGUAGCGGUGAAAUGCGUAGAUAUCGGGAAGAACACCAGUGGCAAAAGCGCUCUGCUGGGCCAUUACUGACGCUCAUGGACGAAAGCCAGGGGAGCGAAAGGGAUUAGAUACCCCUGUAGUCCUGGCCGUAAACGAUGAACACUAGAUGUUGGGGGAAUCGACCCCCUCGGUGUCGUAGCUAACGCGUUAAGUGUUCCGCCUGGGGAGUACGCACGCAAGUGUGAAACUCAAAGGAAUUGACGGGGGCCCGCACAAGCGGUGGAGUAUGUGGUUUAAUUUGAUGCAACGCGAAGAACCUUACCAAGGCUUGACAUCCUGCGAAUCUCCAAGAAAUUGGAGAGUGCCUUUUGGAACGCAGUGACAGGUGGUGCAUGGCUGUCGUCAGCUCGUGUCGUGAGAUGUUGGGUUAAGUCCCGCAACGAGCGCAACCCACGUUUUUAGUUGCCAGCAUUCAGUUGGGCACUCUAGAAAGACUGCCGGUGACAAACCGGAGGAAGGUGUGGACGACGUCAAGUCAUUAUGCCCCUUACGCCUUGGGCUACACACGUACUACAAUGCUGCGGACAAAGAGUAGCGAUCUUGCGAAAGUUAGCUAAUCUCGUAAACCGUGGCUCAGUUCAGAUCGUAGGCUGCAACUCGCCUACGUGAAGGAGGAAUCGCUAGUAAUCGCAGGUCAGCAUACUG
Molecule: ribosomal RNA, 1231 nt
Filed under: uncultured bacterium
Lineage: Bacteria
Description: bacterial SSU rRNA
Rfam family: Bacterial small subunit ribosomal RNA
Source: RNAcentral